CCUACGUGAGGCAGCAGUGGGGAAUAUUGGGCAAUGGGCGCAAGCCUGACCCAGCAACGCCGCGUGAAGGAAGAAGGCUUUCGGGUUGUAAACUUCUUUUAAGAGGGAAGAGCAGAAGACGGUACCUCUUGAAUAAGCCACGGCUAACUACGUGCCAGCAGCCGCGGUAAUACGGAGGUGGCAAGCGUUUUCCGGAUUUACUGGGUGUAAAGGGCGUGUAGCCGGGCUGACAAGUCAGAUGUGAAAUCCCGUGGCUCAACCACGGAACUGCAUUUAAAACUGUCGGUCUUGAGUAUCGGAGAGGCAGGCGGAAUUCCUGGUGUAGCGGUGAAAUGCGUAGAUAUUAGGAGGAACACCAGUGGCGAGGGCGGCCUGCUGGACGACAACUGACGGUGAGGCGCGAAGGCGUGGGAGCAAACAGGAUUAGAUACCCCUGUAGUC
This 441-nucleotide ribosomal RNA is filed under the name uncultured bacterium. RNAcentral's name for it is "partial 16S ribosomal RNA". It matches the Rfam family "Bacterial small subunit ribosomal RNA", at positions 338 to 795 of the family's 1533-position model. The record is from RNAcentral.